AUUGAACGCUGGCGGCAGGCCUAACACAUGCAAGUCGAGCGGAGCGGCGGACGGGUGAGUAAUACCUGGGAAUCUGCCUGGUAGUGGGGGAUAACGUCCGGAAACGGGCGCUAAUACCGCAUACUAUCAGAUGAGGCUAGGUCGGAUUAGCUAGUUGGUGGGGUAAAGGCCUACCAAGGCGACGAUCCGUAACUGGACUGAGAGGAUGAUCAGUCACACUGUAAAUGAGACACGGUCCAGACUCCGACGGGAGGCACCAGUGGGGAAUAUUGGACAAUGGGCGGAAGCCUGAUCCAGCCAUGCCGCGUGUGUGAAGAAGGUCUUCGGAUUGUAAAGCACUUUAAUUUGCGAGGCGUUACCAACAGAAUAAGCACCGGCUAACUUCGUGCCAGCCGCCGCGGUAAUAC
RNAcentral lists this ribosomal RNA (407 nucleotides) under uncultured bacterium. RNAcentral's name for it is "partial 16S ribosomal RNA". It matches the Rfam family "Bacterial small subunit ribosomal RNA", at positions 30 to 526 of the family's 1533-position model. The record is from RNAcentral.